This 251-nucleotide ribosomal RNA is filed under the name uncultured bacterium. Its description in RNAcentral is "partial 16S ribosomal RNA". It matches the Rfam family "Bacterial small subunit ribosomal RNA", at positions 78 to 334 of the family's 1533-position model. The record is from RNAcentral.
CUUUUGCUGGCGACCGGCGCACGGGUGAGUAACACGUAUCCAACCUGCCCUUUACUCGGGGAUAGCCUUUCGAAAGAAAGAUUAAUACCCGAUAGCAUAAUGAUUCCGCAUGGUUUCAUUAUUAAAGGAUUCCGGUAAAGGAUGGGGAUGCGUUCCAUUAGGUUGUUGGUGAGGUAACGGCACACCAAGCCUUCGAUGGAUAGGGGUUCUGAGAGGAAGGUCCCCCACAUUGGAACUGAGACACGGUCCAA